RNAcentral lists this ribosomal RNA (579 nucleotides) under uncultured Arsenicicoccus sp. RNAcentral's name for it is "bacterial SSU rRNA". It matches the Rfam family "Bacterial small subunit ribosomal RNA", at positions 102 to 694 of the family's 1533-position model. The record is from RNAcentral. Lineage: Bacteria; Bacillati; Actinomycetota; Actinomycetes; Micrococcales; Intrasporangiaceae.
ACGGGUGAGUAACACGUGAGUAACCUGCCCUUCACUCUGGGAUAACUCCGGGAAACCGGGGCUAAUACUGGAUAUGACUCCUCCUCGCAUGGGGUGGGAGUGGAAAGCUUUUGUGGUGGAGGAUGGACUCGCGGCCUAUCAGCUUGUUGGUGAGGUAGUGGCUCACCAAGGCGACGACGGGUAGCCGGCCUGAGAGGGCGACCGGCCACACUGGGACUGAGACACGGCCCAGACUCCUACGGGAGGCAGCAGUGGGGAAUAUUGCACAAUGGGCGAAAGCCUGAUGCAGCGACGCCGCGUGAGGGAUGAAGGCCUUCGGGUUGUAAACCUCUUUCAGCUCUGAAGAAGCGAAAGUGACGGUAGGAGCAGAAGAAGCACCGGCUAACUACGUGCCAGCAGCCGCGGUAAUACGUAGGGUGCGAGCGUUGUCCGGAAUUAUUGGGCGUAAAGAGCUUGUAGGUGGUUUGUCGCGUCUGCGGUGAAAUCCCAACGCUUAACGUUGGGCUUGCCGUGGGUACGGGCAGACUAGAGUGUGGUAGGGGAGACUGGAAUUCCUGGUGUAGCGGUGAAAUGCGCAGA